This 326-nucleotide ribosomal RNA is filed under the name uncultured eukaryote. RNAcentral describes it as "partial 18S ribosomal RNA". It matches the Rfam family "Eukaryotic small subunit ribosomal RNA", at positions 1470 to 1796 of the family's 1831-position model. The record is from RNAcentral.
CCUUUAGAUGUUCUGGGCUGCACGCGCGCUACACUGAUGCACUCAACGAGUUUACGACCUUGCCCGAUAGGGUUGGGUAAUCUUUUUAAAAUGCAUCGUGAUGGGGAUAGAUUAUUGCAAUUAUUAAUCUUCAACGAGGAAUUCCUAGUAAGCGCGAGUCAUCAGCUCGUGCUGAUUACGUCCCUGCCCUUUGUACACACCGCCCGUCGCUCCUACCGAUUGAGUGCUCAGGUGAAUAAUUCGGACUGCAGCAAUGUUUGGAUCCCGAACGUUGCAGCGGAAAGUUUAGUGAACCUUAUCACUUAGAGGAAGGAGAAGUCGUAACA